CUGAACUGCUGACUCAGGCCUACCAUCUAUCUAGCUCAGCAUUCUUCAGAUAAAUGAUGGGGCAGAGAUCUCACAGGCAAACUGACAAGUGGGAAGGACGUUAUGUUGGGCUCCACCAUUAGUGUCUGAUCAUCUGGAAUACAACACUUCUACAAAGGAAGCUUGCAGAUACCAUGAAAACAGCCUGCCAGACUUAUGGGACCCUGUUUCCUUGUGGGGAAAGAUCAACACAACUAAAAUCUCAGCUGGGUGAAUGACCAACAGGGAACAUCACACAGUGCUGCUGCCUACGUCACAUAGUGACUCUUCAUAUAUGGGAGGCCACCAAAGAAUACUAGGGCUGCACACUAGAUUGGGAAGCUGAAAACACAUUCUGCAAGAAGUCAAACCACUUCUGCCUUUUUGCCAUGAAAACUACAUGGAUGUGCCCAUGACAUCACCAAGGUUCAUGAAGGUUUUACCUUUUACAUACAAGAUGGAAAUAUUGGUAAUUUCUCUGCUGUUGAGUUAAUGUGCCAUCAAUCCCGCAUUGUCUCAGCACAAAAAUGCUAUAAUAAAAUUGCUAGUUGUAUAAUAAAAUUG
Candoia aspera is the source of this 582-nucleotide long non-coding RNA. RefSeq lists it as uncharacterized. The transcript has 3 exons. Lineage: Eukaryota; Metazoa; Chordata; Lepidosauria; Squamata; Candoiidae. The record is from RefSeq and is a predicted model, not a curated record.